This 21-nucleotide non-coding RNA is filed under the name Caenorhabditis elegans. The record is from RNAcentral. Lineage: Eukaryota; Metazoa; Nematoda; Chromadorea; Rhabditida; Rhabditidae.
UACAGCCCACUGCCAUCUAGU